RNAcentral lists this ribosomal RNA (793 nucleotides) under uncultured bacterium. RNAcentral's name for it is "bacterial SSU rRNA". It matches the Rfam family "Bacterial small subunit ribosomal RNA", at positions 46 to 851 of the family's 1533-position model. The record is from RNAcentral.
UAUAGAAUGGAAUGAAGAUUUAUCGGAGUGAAAUUUUAUAACAAUGGUCUUAGUGGCGGACUGGUGAGUAACGCGUAAGGAACCUGCCUUUUAGAGGGGAAUAACAAUGAGAAAUCAUUGCUAAUACCGCAUAUGCCAUAAGUACUACAUGGUACUAGUGGGAAAGGAGUAAUUCGCUAAAAGAUGGCCUUGCGUCUGAUUAGAUAGUUGGUAAGGUAACGGCUUACCAAGUCGACGAUCAGUAGCCGGACUGAGAGGUUGAACGGCCACAUUGGGACUGAGAUACGGCCCAGACUCCUACGGGAGGCAGCAGUCGGGAAUAUUGCGCAAUGGAGGAAACUCUGACGCAGUGACGCCGCGUAUAGGAAGAAGGUUUUCGGAUUGUAAACUAUUGUCGUUAGGGAAGAGAAAGGACAGUACCUAAGGAGGAAGCUCCGGCUAACUACGUGCCAGCAGCCGCGGUAAUACGUAGGGAGCGAGCGUUAUCCGGAAUUAUUGGGUGUAAAGGGUGCGUAGACGGGAAAGCAAGUUAGUUGUGAAAUCCCUCGGCUUAACUGAGGAACUGCAACUAAAACUACUUUUCUUGAGUGCAGGAGAGGUAAGUGGAAUUCCUAGUGUAGCGGUGAAAUGCGUAGAUAUUAGGAGGAACACCAGUGGCGAAGGCGACUUACUGGACUGUAACUGACGUUGAGGCACGAAAGUGUGGGGAGCAAACAGGAUUAGAUACCCUGGUAGUCCACACCGUAAACGAUGGAUACUAGGUGUAGGAGAUAUUAAGUCUUCUGUGCCGUCG